AAAAAAUUAGUUAAAUUAAUAACAUUAGUCUGUCAGUCUAAAAUUAUCUAGAUUAGAUAUUUUUUA
This 66-nucleotide transfer RNA is filed under the name Micropygomyia cayennensis. Its description in RNAcentral is "tRNA-Asp". The record is from RNAcentral. Lineage: Eukaryota; Metazoa; Arthropoda; Insecta; Diptera; Psychodidae.